ACUUAGUUGUUAUACUUACUAGGUUUUAUUAAGUUACACAAUUUGCUAAUUUUAAGGCGAAUAGAACAACAUGCUGCAAUGAGUAAUUCUUUCUUAAAAUAUUCAAGUAGCUACAACAAAACCGAUGACAUUAAUUCACCAGUGAGAGGCAGCAGUGCGCUAAUGUGCAACAGGAACAAAACAACAGAAGAAGAAAUAAGGACGGUGAGCAUGCGCAGCAAGCAAAGUUUUGAAGCUGCGUCGAAUUUGCUUAAACUAAAAAGUAGAAAGACUGUUUACAUUUCACCUCUGGACAAAGAAUGAUUGAUUACUUCUACACAAUAAUAAUAAGGAAAAAAGCUUGUGUCAGCUGUCUUCUCUGAGCAGCGGUCUUGUGAUCACCGGUCUCAGUAUAAUAAAGAGGACACUUCACAUCCUAGAACCCAUAAAAUAAAAGAUUUGACAGAACUACACACCCAUCUGAUGCCUACCUGUUUUAAUUCAUGAUCACCCCGGAUACUUCUACAACUAACCUGCUUGGUGUCUGAUGCUGAUGCAAUCUGGGCACUAGUAUCUGUUGGCUUGCUGACUAUCACUGACGAUGAAGUACUUCUCCAAAUCUUGACCCAGUGUCUUCUGCCAUCAUUGUUCAGGGUAGUACUGCAAAGGAUAGUCUCCAGGGUCUGCCUCCAACAUUUGCUUCCCGACCACCAUGUGCUACGCUUGCAUCACUACAUGUGGGUUACCCUGAUACUGUGAAGAGCACCUACAAUAUGAUGCUUGACUUGGGACAGAAAAAAAAACAUUGGCAACUUGUGUGGCCAACUCAUUGCCGUGUCAUGAAUUUGUAAUAGAUUUUUGAAGUAUUUAAGUUACUAGAGUAAUGGUAACUUUUUUUUUUUUAAAGGUUUGCAUUCUUUUUUUAAAAUAAGGUUUACUCAUUAUAAUUUACAGUGCAGACAACCUCCCUGCCCAGUGCACACUAGUGAGAUAAAUUCAAAACACUGUAAUUGUAAUAAAGUACUGUUACUAUACUGUA
Long non-coding RNA from Carassius auratus (goldfish), 1018 nucleotides. RefSeq lists it as uncharacterized. The transcript has 5 exons. Lineage: Eukaryota; Metazoa; Chordata; Actinopteri; Cypriniformes; Cyprinidae. The record is from RefSeq and is a predicted model, not a curated record.